UACGUAGGCAGCGAGCGUUGUUCGGAGUUACUGGGCGUAAAGAGUGCGUAGGCGGUUCUCUAAGUUUGGUGUGAAAUCUCCCGGCUUAACUGGGAGGGUGCGCCGAAGACUGGAAGGCUUGAGUAUGGGAGAGGUAAGCGGAAUUCCUGGUGUAGCGGUGAAAUGCGUAGAUAUCUGGAGGAAUACCGGUGGCGAAGGCGGCAUCCUGGACCGGCAUUGACGCUGAGGAGCGAAAGCCAGGGGAGCAAACGGG
RNAcentral lists this ribosomal RNA (253 nucleotides) under uncultured bacterium. RNAcentral describes it as "partial 16S ribosomal RNA". It matches the Rfam family "Bacterial small subunit ribosomal RNA", at positions 524 to 776 of the family's 1533-position model. The record is from RNAcentral.